RNAcentral lists this ribosomal RNA (459 nucleotides) under uncultured bacterium. Its description in RNAcentral is "partial 16S ribosomal RNA". It matches the Rfam family "Bacterial small subunit ribosomal RNA", at positions 28 to 523 of the family's 1533-position model. The record is from RNAcentral.
GACGAACGCUGGCGGCGUGCCUAAUACAUGCAAGUCGAGCGGUAAGGCCCUUCGGGGUACACGAGCGGCGGACGGCUGAGUAGCGCGUAGGAACGUACCCCAAAGUGAGGGAUAAGCACCAGAAAUGGUGUCUAAUACCGCAUAUGGUCUUCGGAUUAAAGCCUUCGGGCGCUUUGGGAGCGGCCUGCGUAUGAUUAGCUUGUUGGUGAGGUAAUGGCUCACCAAGGCGAUGAUCACUAGCUGGUCUGAGAGGAUGAUCAGCCAGACUGGGACUGAGACACGGCCCAGACUCCUACGGGAGGCAGCAGUAGGGAAUUUUCCACAAUGGACGAAAGUCUGAUGGAGCAACGCCGCGUGCAGGAUGAAUGCCUUCGGGUUGUAAACUGCUUUUAUAUGUGACGAUUAUGACGGUAGCAUAUGAAUAAGGAUCGGCUAACUCCGUGCCAGCAGCCGCCGUAA